GGAGGGGUGUCCGAGCGGUUUAAGGAGGCGGUCUUGAAAACCGUUGUAGGGGUGACUCUACCGUGGGUUCGAAUCCCACUCCCUCCGCCA
Molecule: transfer RNA, 90 nt
Filed under: Desulfotomaculum nigrificans CO-1-SRB
Lineage: Bacteria; Bacillati; Bacillota; Clostridia; Eubacteriales; Desulfotomaculaceae
Description: tRNA-Ser (TGA) (tRNA-Ser-TGA-1-1)
Rfam family: tRNA
About the family: Transfer RNA (tRNA) molecules are approximately 80 nucleotides in length.
Source: RNAcentral